CCACGGCUGUCAGGAGAGAGCCCGCGCGCCAUGCGCGGGCCGCCGAAGGCGCAGGCGCAAAGCCUUAACGCUCAGGCAAAAGGACUGACGGCACGCC
This 97-nucleotide non-coding RNA is filed under the name Alicycliphilus denitrificans. RNAcentral's name for it is "Glycine sequence". It matches the Rfam family "Glycine riboswitch aptamer". Rfam says of the family: This family represents the bacterial glycine riboswitch. Glycine riboswitches usually consist of two metabolite-binding aptamers domains with similar structures in tandem. RNAcentral also lists the same sequence under 1 other name. Lineage: Bacteria; Pseudomonadati; Pseudomonadota; Betaproteobacteria; Burkholderiales; Comamonadaceae. The record is from RNAcentral.